UGCAAGUCGAACGGAGGCCCUAGCUUGCUAGGUGUCCUUAGUGGCGCACGGGUGAGUAACACGUGGGAACAUACCUUAUAGUACGGAAUAACUGCGGGAAACUGUAGCUAAUACCGUAUACUCCAGUAAUGGGAAAGAUUUAUCGCUAUAAGAUUGGCCCGCGCAAGAUUAGCUUGUUGGUGAGGUAAAAGCUCACCAAGGCUUCGAUCUUAGCUGGUUUGAGAGGACGAUCAGCCACACUGGGACUGAGACACGGCCCAGACUCCUACGGGAGGCAGCAGUAGGGAAUAUUGGACAAUGGGGGCAACCCUGAUCCAGCAAUGCAGCGUGAGUGACGAAGGCCUUAGGGUUGUAAAACUCUUUCAUCGGUGAGGAUAAUGACAGUAGCCGAAGAAGAAGGACCGGCUAAUUCCGUGCCAGCAGCCGCGGUAAUACGGAAGGUCCUAGCGUUGUUCGGAAUUACUGGGCGUAAAGCGCAUGUAGGCGGAACAGAAAGUUAGAAGUGAAAUCCCUGGGCUCAACCUAGGAAUUGCUUUUAAAACUUCUGUUCUGGAAUUCAGGAGAGGAAAAUGGAAUUUCCAGUGUAGAGGUGAAAUUCGUAGAUAUUGGAAGGAACACCAGUGGCGAAGGCGAUUUUCUGGACUGAUAUUGACGCUGAGAUGCGAAGGCAUGGGUAGCAAACGGGAUUAGAUACCCCGGUAGUCCAUGCAGUAAACGAUGGGUGCUA
Molecule: ribosomal RNA, 727 nt
Filed under: uncultured marine bacterium
Lineage: Bacteria
Description: bacterial SSU rRNA
Rfam family: Bacterial small subunit ribosomal RNA
Source: RNAcentral